GUUCGGUUAGUCUAGUGGUCAAGACGUUCGUUUGUGGUCUACGCAAAACACGAAAGAUCGACAGUUCAAUCCUGUCACCGGACA
Non-coding RNA from Bisporella sp. PMI_857, 84 nucleotides. The record is from the annotation of a GenBank genome assembly. Lineage: Eukaryota; Fungi; Ascomycota; Leotiomycetes; Helotiales; Helotiaceae.